Molecule: ribosomal RNA, 461 nt
Filed under: uncultured bacterium
Lineage: Bacteria
Description: bacterial SSU rRNA
Rfam family: Bacterial small subunit ribosomal RNA
Source: RNAcentral
GACGAACGCUGGCGGCGUGCCUAACACANNCAAGUCGAGCGAAGUACUUAUCAAUAAGCCUUCGGGCAGAUUGAUAAUCUACUUAGCGGCGGAUGGGUGAGUAACGCGUGAGGAACCUGCCUUCCACAAGGGGAUAGCCUCGGGAAACCGGGAUUAAUACCCUAUGACACUUAAAGGUCCCAUGACUUUUAAGUUAAAGCGUUAGCGGUGGAAGAUGGCCUCGCGUCCCAUUAGCUAGUUGGUGAGGUAAGGGCUCACCAAGGCCACGAUGGGUAGCCGGCUUGAGAGAGUGACCGGCCACACUGGAACUGAGACACGGUCCAGACUCCUACGGGAGGCAGCAGUGGGGAAUAUUGCACAAUGGAGGGAACUCUGAUGCAGCGACGCCGCGUGAGCGAUGAAGGCCUUCGGGUCGUAAAGCUCUGUCCUAUGGGACGAUAAUGACGGUACCAUAGGAGGAA